This 310-nucleotide long non-coding RNA is filed under the name Chinchilla lanigera (long-tailed chinchilla). RNAcentral describes it as "lncRNA (ENSCLAG00000028770.1)". The record is from RNAcentral. Lineage: Eukaryota; Metazoa; Chordata; Mammalia; Rodentia; Chinchillidae.
AUGCACUCCGGAGCCUCUCCAGUUUGCCUGCUCCAGGAUUCCAGUCUCAAUUUCAUACCCACUGGGAGCGGGAAGGGAAGGCGCGCGGCUGGAAAGGAGAGGAAGGAGACUCCAGGCUGGCUGAUGCAUUCAGGCUCUGUGUUGGAAGGAACCAUCAAGGUGUCUGGCUCAACAUCGUAUCUGACCUGUCUCUGAUCAAAUCCACAUCUGCUCACCACAUUCAAUCACAGGUCCUCCACUUCACCAGGGUGCCUGCUCAGUAUCAGAAGACUAAUUCAUUUAAUUUCAUUUAAUUACAUAAUAUAUAAAC